This 328-nucleotide unclassified non-coding RNA is filed under the name soil metagenome. RNAcentral describes it as "partial contains 5.8S ribosomal RNA, internal transcribed spacer 2, and large subunit ribosomal RNA". The stretch from base 2 to 119 matches the Rfam family "5.8S ribosomal RNA", at positions 37 to 154 of the family's 154-position model. The record is from RNAcentral.
GUGAAGAACGUAGCGAAAUGCGAUAAGUAAUGUGAAUUGCAGAAUUCAGUGAAUCAUCGAAUCUUUGAACGCACAUUGCGCCCCUUGGUAUUCCGAGGGGCAUGCCUGUUCGAGCGUCAUUAUAACCCCUCAAGCUCAGCUUGGUGUUGGGGCCUGCUGCACUGGCAGCCCUUAAAAUCAGUGGCGGCGCCAUCUGGCUCUAAGCGUAGUAAUUCUUCUCGCUAUGGAGUCCUGGUGGAUGCUUGCCAUCAACCCCCAAUUUUUCUAUGGUUGACCUCGGAUCAGGUAGGGAUACCCGCUGAACUUAAGCAUAUCAAUAAGCGGAGGA